AAUGAACGCUGGUGGCGUGCCUAACACAUGCAAGUCGAGCGAGAAAUCCCGCUUCGGUGGGAGAGUAAAGCGGCGCACGGGUGAGUAACGCGUGGGUAAUCUACCUUCGAGUCCGGGAUAACACUUCGAAAGGGGUGCUAAUACCAGAUAAGACCACAGUUAUUACUAUGACCGUGGUAAAAGGUGGCCUCUCCUUGGAAGCUAUUGCUUGAGGAUGAGCCCGCGUCCUAUCAGCUUGUUGGUAGGGUAAUGGCCUACCAAGGCUAAGACGGGUAGCUGGUCUGAGAGGACGACCAGCCACACUGGGACUGAGACACGGCCCAGACUCCUACGGGAGGCAGCAGUGGGGAAUUUUGCGCAAUGGGGGAAACCCUGACGCAGCGACGCCGCGUGAGUGAUGAAGGCCUUCGGGUUGUAAAGCUCUGUCAGGUGGGAAGAAAUUCCCUAUGGCUAAUAUCCAGAGGGAUUGACGGUACCAUCAGAGGAAGCACCGGCUAACUCCGUGCCAGCCGCCGCGGUAA
RNAcentral lists this ribosomal RNA (521 nucleotides) under uncultured bacterium. Its description in RNAcentral is "partial 16S ribosomal RNA". It matches the Rfam family "Bacterial small subunit ribosomal RNA", at positions 29 to 523 of the family's 1533-position model. The record is from RNAcentral.